CGGGUGAGUAAUGCGUGACCAACCUGCCCCAUGCUCCAGAAUAGCUCUUGGAAACGGGUGGUAAUGCUGGAUGCUCCAACUUGACGCAUGUCUUGUUGGGAAAGUGUUUAGUGGCAUGGGAUGGGGUCGCGUCCUAUCAGCUUGUAGGCGGGGUAAUGGCCCACCUAGGCUUCGACGGGUAGCCGGCCUGAGAGGGCGGACGGCCACAUUUGGACUGAGAUACGGCCCAGACUCCUACGGGAGGCAGCAGUC
This 252-nucleotide ribosomal RNA is filed under the name uncultured Gardnerella sp. RNAcentral's name for it is "partial 16S ribosomal RNA". It matches the Rfam family "Bacterial small subunit ribosomal RNA", at positions 103 to 355 of the family's 1533-position model. Lineage: Bacteria; Bacillati; Actinomycetota; Actinomycetes; Bifidobacteriales; Bifidobacteriaceae. The record is from RNAcentral.